UAUCUCGAAAGUAAAAGAUCUAAUUAAGCUAGUUAGUUCUUGUGUCAAAAAGAUUAAAUAAGUUUAUUUAGGUGUGAAAUGUUAAACGUUUUUACUGAUAUCUAGUAACUUUAAGAAAAAAAUUUAGUUUAAAUUGUUGAGAAUUUCUUUAUUUUUAAGAAAAUUUUUAUAUGAUUUUAUAUUUUAGGGGAUGAGCUCUAAAAUAAAUUUAUAAGAAAAAAAUUUUUGAGUUUUUGGUAGGCUUAGAAUUGGCCAUAAGAUAGUGUUAUAAGAUAAAAAUUCAAGUUUAAGAUUUUAUUUUCUUUUAGUUUUAUGAAGUUAAAGAAAGAAUAGAGUAAGAUUUGAAAAUAUGAUAGUAUAAGUAGAUAAACAGAGUUUUGAAAGUAAUAUAAAUCUCUCAUUAUAAUUUAUGAAAUAAAUUGUUACAAAAGAACUCGGCAAAAAAGAUUUCCGAAUGUUUAACAAAAACAUUUCCUCUCGGAUAAGUGAGGUAAGGCCUGCUCACUGAAUAUUAAAGAGCCGCAGUAUCCUGACUGUGCUAAGGUAGCAUAAUCAUUAGUCUUUUAAUUGGAGACUGGUAUGAAUGGCUAGACGAGAAAUCGACUUUUUUUGUUUCAGAAAUUGAAUUUAAUUUUUUAGUGAAAAAGCUAAAAUUUUUCAGAAAGACGAGAAGACCCUAUAGAGUUUUAUAUCUUGAAGAAUUUUUUCUUAUUGGAUUUAUUUGGAAAGAAUUUUUUUAAGGUAUUUUGUUGGGGCGACAUUAAGAUAAAAGAAACUCUUUAUUAUAAAAACUUAAAUAUAAGAAUGAAUUGAUCCUUUAAAAAAGAUCAUAAGAAAAAAUUACCUUAGGGAUAACAGCGUAAUCUUUUUUGAGAGUUCUAAUCGACAAAAAGGUUUGCGACCUCGAUGUUGGACUAAAAUUUAGACA
Molecule: ribosomal RNA, 928 nt
Filed under: Tetraclitella chinensis
Lineage: Eukaryota; Metazoa; Arthropoda; Thecostraca; Balanomorpha; Tetraclitidae
Description: partial 16S ribosomal RNA
Rfam family: Archaeal large subunit ribosomal RNA (bases 416-652)
Source: RNAcentral